RNAcentral lists this long non-coding RNA (4116 nucleotides) under Piliocolobus tephrosceles (Ugandan red Colobus). RNAcentral's name for it is "lncRNA (ENSPTEG00000004973.1)". Lineage: Eukaryota; Metazoa; Chordata; Mammalia; Primates; Cercopithecidae. The record is from RNAcentral.
AUGAAUAAUAUCGAUUUGAGCAAAGAAAUAAUAUCUCACCCAAUGAAUUAUAAUGACCUGUAUAGUAAUUUUAUAAACAAUAAUAUAAAAUAUUAUAAUCAUGUAAAAGAUAGUGAAACAAUACUUGGCGAUAUAGAUUUAUAUUUGUUUCUUUUGUUUUCCCAAAUAAUUAAUAAUAAUCUUGAAAAUCAAGUGAAAGUAUUAGGAGAAAAUGUGUUUAUUAAACAAAUUGAAAAUUUUAAAAUGAUUAAUAAUAUUGUUAAAAGAAUAAUAUUAAAUAAUAUGAUGAAAGAAAAAUUAAAAUUUUAUUUUCUUACUUUAUAUAUUGUUAAAAUUAGUACAUUAAAUAUUUUUAAUGGCAAUUCAACGGAUGACAUUUUUUUGGAUUAUUCAGUUUUGUUUAAGCUAUUAAAUAAUUUGUUAUUCUUUUCAUAUAUUCAAGAGAAAAAAAUGAAGGACAAUAUGGAAAUAUGUGAAGGAGUAAACGUAAAAAGUAAAGGCGAAUGUUUGGUAAAAACUCACAACGACAAGGGGUUAUACAAAAACAAGAGUGUAAGUAAAAGAUGUAAAAACAGUGCAAAAAACAGUGCAAAAAACAGUGCAAAAAACAGUGCAAAAAACAGUGUAAAAAACAAAGAAGAAGACAUGGAAAAGGGCGUGGAAAAGGGCAUGGAAAAAAACAAGAAAAAAAACAAGAAAAAAAAUAAAGAAGACACGUUAGGUUAUACAACCUAUUGUUACAACUACUUUUAUAAAUUAAAAAAAUGGCAAGAUCAAAAAAAUGGGAAGCCUAAUAUAUACAGAUACGAAUUACAAAAAAAACAGAAAUCUCAAAUGAAGUGUACAUAUGAUGAACUUUUUAAUAUUAUUAUUUAUUUUUUACACAAUGAAAAACUACUAGCCAAUCAUAGGGAUAAAUAUAUUAAAACUUUUAUAGAACAAUUAUUAAAAACACCUAAAUUAUCUUUUUCUUUUUUUAUUUAUCUAAUCCUUUGGUUAAAUAACAUACAUGUACAUAUAGAUUAUCAAGGUUAUAUUAAUAACAGUAAAAAGGAUCAGUUAAUUUUGAUAAAAAAUGAAAGACAAAAAAAUGACAUGUUCGGUUCAAACAGAAAUGAAGAAAUAAAAAAUAUAAAACCAUCACAAUUAUAUUUUUGUGAAAAUAAUACACAAACAAGUGAAAUAAGUCAAAUAAACAUAUUGGAAAAUAGAGAUGAACAAAUUGAGGAAUUACACUUAGAAAAUAGAAAUAGUAAAAAUAAUAGAAAUAAUAUAAAUAAUAGAAAUAAUAUAAAUAAUAGAANNNNNNNNNNUAUAAAUAAUAGAAAUAAUAUAAAUAAUAGAAAUAAUAUAAAUAAUAUAAAUAAUAUAAAUAAUAUAAAUAAUAGAAAAGGAGAAAAGGACAAUAAUAAUAAUAAUAAAGUAAAUAUGGGUUUGGGUAAAAUUGUAGGAGAAGAGCAAACAGAUUUUCAACAUAGUUGUACAAACGUUGCAUCUUCAGAUAUUGGUGACACGAACAUAUCCGAUACGAAUAUGUCUAACACGAGUUUAUCCGAUACGAAUAUGUCUAACACGAGUUUAUCCGAUUCGAAUAUGUCUAACACGAGUUUAUCCCAUUUCGAAGUUGAAUCGAAUGAAAGUGAUGAACAUAGUUGGUCGGAUGAAGAGAAAAACAACGAACUAAAUAAUAGUAUAAAAGGAAAAAAUAGUAAUGGCAACAGUUGUGAUAAAUGUGAAACAUGGACGUUACAUUGCGUACAUAAUGAACUGGACAAAAAUUUAUUUAAUAUAAAUUAUUAUAUUAAAUACUCACAAAGACGUUCAAAUAGUGCUAAUUAUUAUAUUCUUAGUUUUUCGUUAAUUUCUAAUUUAUUAAAAAAGAAUCAAAACAUAAAAGCGAAAAAAACUAUAUUAGCUAUAUAUAUGAAUACAUUAUUUCAAUCGAAUAAUGAAAUAAGAACAAUUUUAAAAAAAUUGAUUACUGCUUCAAAAGGAAUUUAUAACAAUUCAUUAAAUUUUAUGGUAUAUACAAAAAAAAUAUAUAAUUUUUAUCAUAAAAUUCUUAUUUUAUUUUUAUUAUAUAUAUGUAAUAUAUAUAUUCCUAACUUGAAAAAUGAUAUAAAUUAUUUUAUUUAUUUUCCUUUUUAUUUAUGGCCUCUAGAGUUAAUUAAUUUUAUUCAUAACUUUUUAGUUAACAAUUAUGUACUCUUUUAUAAUAAUAUAAUAUCUCUUUUUGUAAAUUCAAAUCAAGUGGAAAUAUAUGAAAAAAAAAUAAUUGCUUCAAAAAAAAAAUAUUCAUUUAUUGAUAAUAAAUUAAAUGAAUAUAUAAAUAACCUUGACAACACAAACAUCAUGCAGUCAUUAGAAUCUUUUUUGAAAGAAACUGAUUUUUUUUUUAACGCUGAUAAAAAAACUUUACAAAAAGAGGAUGGUAAUAAUAAUAGUGAUAAUAGUGAUAAUAAUAAUAAUAGUGAUAAUAAUAAUAGUAAUAAUAAUAAUAGUGAUAAUAAUAAUAGUAAUAAUAAUAAUGAUAGUGGUAAUAAUAGUGAUAAGAGAAAUGAACAAAAAAAAGACACAUUAGCAGAUACAUGUGAAAAAAUGCAAAGUAACAUAUAUGAACAAUCACGAAAAGAAGAAAAAGAAUGUUUGUUAAAUGAUGUUAUAUCUCAAAAGGCAUUACUUGAAGAAAUUAUCGUCAACUUGUUUUUAAAAAUUGUUGAUUUAUUAGAAGAUAAAAAAUUAAUUAUAAAAAUAAAAAAAGCUAAUAUUUUUUUUAAUUUUUUAACUAUUGAUUAUGUUAGUAAGUUAUGUCAAUUUAUUUUAAUAAAUAUAGAAAAAAUUUAUGAAAAAAAUAAAAAUAAAUUUUGGACAAAUUUUUAUAUUCUACUGAAUGAAAUAUCAGAAGAUAAUAAAAAUAAAAUAACAGAUCAAAUAAAAAUUGUAGAAUUACGACAAGUAUCAAACUUUUUUUUAAACGCAAUUGAUAACUUUUUAAGUAUAUGUGUAAGAUCAACUAUGUUUUUUCAUUUUUAUUUAUUAACAUAUAAUAAUUGUAGUAAGAAAGAAAUAAAGGAAAUUUUAUUAAGUAAGUUUAUUUUAACCUUACCAUUACUUAAUUCGUUAUACCAUGAAGAAAUAUAUAGAAUUUUAAAAUAUAACAACAAGGUGAGUAAUAAUAGGAGUGAUAAUGAUAGAUAUGAAACGAGUGAACAAUCAGAGAUGGUAAAUAAGACCGAACUAGUGGAUGAUGGGGUAAAUAAGACCGAACNNNNNNNNNNCGAACUAGUGGAUGAUGGGGUAAAUAAGACCGAACUAGUGGAUGAUGAGGUAAAUAAGGCCGAAAGUGAUGAAAAAAUAAAUGAUAAAAACAAUUUAUUACAUAUUAACAUAGAAAUUGUUAAAUAUGUAAGUAAAAAUUUAUAUGAACAUAUUUCAGGGUGUAGUAAUAAUAUAUGGGAAAGUCAUUUACACUUUUUAAAUUUUUGUUAUAAUUUAUAUCUCGAAAAUAAUAAUAUAUAUUUUAUUAUUGAAUUAAUUGCAUUUUUAAAAAAAGAACAAAUUUUAUAUAUACUCAAUGAAAUAAUAAAAAAUGAUUUGAAGGAAAAUAAAAAAAUUGAAAUAUUAAAAAUUUGUUUUAAUAAUAUUAUUAAAUUACCAUAUUUAUAUAUUUCAGAAAAACAAAAUGAAAAUGAAUCUUAUUAUAUAACAAAUAUUGAUAUAUUUUAUUUUUUUUAUAAUUUAAAUAAAAAUAAAAAUAUUCAAAAAGUUAUGUUAGAUUAUUUUGUAACUAAAGUUAAUAUAAAUAAUGUAUCCAAAGACCAAGAACAGAAUAAAAAUUUUAAUAGUAUUUCAAUCAAAGAUGUAGCUAAUAUAAUACAACAAGUGGCUGAAAAUUGUGAUACUAUAUUCCCUAUAUAUGGAAGGUUCUUAUGCCAAAUUACUAAAAAUAUUAUUAUAUUAAGAGAAUUUAUAAGUAGUAUUAUUAUUCCUUUGUUAAUACAAAAAAAAAUAUGGACAAAUAAAUUUUUAUGGAAAGGCUGUCUAAUGUGUAUACAUAUGCUUUGGUCCGACUUCAAACAUUCGUUGUUUUACAUCUUUUUUAUGUUACCACAGUAA